UGCAGUCGAACGGCAGCACAGAGGAGCUUGCUCCUUGGGUGGCGAGUGGCGGACGGGUGAGGAAUACAUCGGAAUCUACUUUUUCGUGGGGGAUAACGUAGGGAAACUUACGCUAAUACCGCAUACGACCUACGGGUGAAAGCAGGGGACCUUCGGGCCUUGCGCGAUUGAAUGAGCCGAUGUCGGAUUAUCUAGUUGGCGGGGUAAAGGCCCACCAAGGCGACGAUCCGUAGCUGGUCUGAGAGGAUGAUCAGCCACACUGGAACUGAGACACGGUCCAGACUCCUACGGGAGGCAGCAGUGGGGAAUAUUGGACAAUGGGCGCAAGCCUGAUCCACCCAUACCGCGUGGGUGAAGAAGGCCUUCGGGUUGUAAAGCCCUUUUGUUGGGAAAGAAAUCCAGCUGGCUAAUACCCGGUUGGGAUGACGGUACCCAAAGAAUAAGCACCGGCUAACUUCGUGCCAGCAGCCGCGGUAAUACGAAGGGUGCAAGCGUUACUCGGAAUUACUGGGCGUAAAGCGUGCGUAGGUGGUCGUUUAAGUCCGUUGUGAAAGCCCUGGGCUCAACCUGGGAACUGCAGUGGAUACUGGGCGACUAGAGUGUGGUAGAGGGUAGCGGAAUUCCUGGUGUAGCAGUGAAAUGCGUAGAGAUCAAGAGGAACAUCCAUGGCGAACGCAGCUACCUGGACCAACACUGACACUGAGGCACGAAAGCGUGGGGAGCAAACAAGAUUAGAUACCCUGGUAGUCCACGCCCUAAACGAUGCGAACUGGAUGUUGGGUGCAAUUUGGCACGCACUAUCGAAGCUAACGCGUUAAGUUCGCCGCCUGGGGAGUACGGUCGCAAGACUGAAACUCAAAGGAAUUGACGGGGGCCCGCACAAGCGGUGGAGUAUGUGGUUUAAUUCGAUGC
Molecule: ribosomal RNA, 912 nt
Filed under: uncultured Stenotrophomonas sp.
Lineage: Bacteria; Pseudomonadati; Pseudomonadota; Gammaproteobacteria; Lysobacterales; Lysobacteraceae
Description: bacterial SSU rRNA
Rfam family: Bacterial small subunit ribosomal RNA
Source: RNAcentral